AAGUCGUAACAAGGUUUCCGUAGGUGAACCUGCGGAAGGAUCAUCAUUGAAUCUAUUCUUAUUAACCCUUGUGAACUGUAUGUGUAAGAGCGAGUUGGUAGGAAGGCUUGGAGUUGGAGGCUCGGCCUACAACUUUGCGGCCGCGUCCUGUCUCAAGCGCAUCGCGCUCGUCCCAGGUGCCUGCCAGCCUGCUCGCAUUUUAACAAACUUUUAAAACAACUACUGAUAAAAUUUGUUUAAUAAAAACAACUUUCAACAAUGGAUCUCUUGGUUCUC
RNAcentral lists this unclassified non-coding RNA (276 nucleotides) under fungal sp. RNAcentral's name for it is "partial internal transcribed spacer region". The stretch from base 1 to 46 matches the Rfam family "Eukaryotic small subunit ribosomal RNA", at positions 1786 to 1831 of the family's 1831-position model. The record is from RNAcentral. Lineage: Eukaryota; Fungi.